UACGAAGGGGGCUAGCGUUGCUCGGAAUCACUGGGCGUAAAGGGUGCGUAGGCGGGUCUUUAAGUCAGGGGUGAAAUCCUGGAGCUCAACUCCAGAACUGCCUUUGAUACUGGGGAUCUCGAGUCCGGAAGAGGUGAGUGGAACUCCGAGUGUAGAGGUGAAAUUCGUAGAUACUCGGAAGAACACCAGUGGCGAAGGCGGCUCACUGGUCCGGUACUGACGCUGAGGUGCGAAAGCGUGGGGAGCAAACAGG
Molecule: ribosomal RNA, 253 nt
Filed under: uncultured bacterium
Lineage: Bacteria
Description: partial 16S ribosomal RNA
Rfam family: Bacterial small subunit ribosomal RNA
Source: RNAcentral